GGAGUUGGACGGACCGUCGCCGCGGCCCUCUAAGGGACGGGGAGGAAAGUCCGGGCUCCACAGGGCAGAGCGCUGGGUAACUCCCAGGAGGAGCGAUCCUCGGCAAGCGCAACAGAAAGCAGACCGCCACGCAGUCCUUCGGGAUUGCGGGGUAAGGGUGAAACGGUGGGGUAAGAGCCCACCAGCGGGCGUGGCGACACGCCCGGCUAGGCAUGCCCCGCUCGGAGCAAGACCAAAUAGGAAGGUAGGCUGGCCCGGCUAUUGCCUUCGGGUAGGUUGCUUGAGGUGGUCGGUAACGGCCAUCCUAGAGGAAUGACGGUCGCCUCCCUCGCCCCGAAAGGGACGAAGGGGGAGACAAAACCCGGCUUACAGUCCGGCUCCGGCA
Molecule: RNase P RNA, 385 nt
Filed under: Desulfovibrionales bacterium GWA2_65_9
Lineage: Bacteria; Pseudomonadati; Thermodesulfobacteriota; Desulfovibrionia; Desulfovibrionales
Description: RNase P RNA component class A
Rfam family: Bacterial RNase P class A
About the family: Ribonuclease P (RNase P) is a ubiquitous endoribonuclease, found in archaea, bacteria and eukarya as well as chloroplasts and mitochondria. Its best characterised activity is the generation of mature 5'-ends of tRNAs by cleaving the 5'-leader elements of precursor-tRNAs.
Source: RNAcentral